RNAcentral lists this ribosomal RNA (467 nucleotides) under uncultured bacterium. Its description in RNAcentral is "partial 16S ribosomal RNA". It matches the Rfam family "Bacterial small subunit ribosomal RNA", at positions 28 to 506 of the family's 1533-position model. The record is from RNAcentral.
GACGAACGCUGGCGGCGUGCUUAACACAUGCAAGUCGAACGGAAAGGCCCUGCUUUUGUGGGGUGCUCGAGUGGCGAACGGGUGAGUAACACGUGAGUAACCUGCCCUUGACUUUGGGAUAACUUCAGGAAACUGGGGCUAAUACCGGAUAGGAGCUCCUGCUGCAUGGUGGGGGUUGGAAAGUUUCGGCGGUUGGGGAUGGACUCGCGGCUUAUCAGCUUGUUGGUGGGGUAGUGGCUUACCAAGGCUUUGACGGGUAGCCGGCCUGAGAGGGUGACCGGCCACAUUGGGACUGAGAUACGGCCCAGACGCCUACGGGAGGCAGCAGUGGGGAAUAUGGCACAAUGGGCGGAAGCCUGAUGCAGCAACGCCGCGUGCGGGAUGACGGCCUUCGGGUUGUAAACCGCUUUCGCCUGUGACGAAGCGUGAGUGACGGUAAUGGGGAAAGAAGCACCGGCGAACUACGU